RNAcentral lists this ribosomal RNA (534 nucleotides) under uncultured bacterium. Its description in RNAcentral is "bacterial SSU rRNA". It matches the Rfam family "Bacterial small subunit ribosomal RNA", at positions 777 to 1304 of the family's 1533-position model. The record is from RNAcentral.
AAUAGAUACCCGGGUAGUCCACGCCGUAAACGGUGGGCACUAGGUGUGGGCAACAUUCCACGUUGUCCGUGCCGCAGCUAACGCAUUAAGUGCCCCGCCUGGGGAGUACGGCCGCAAGGCUAAAACUCAAAGGAAUUGACGGGGGCCCGCACAAGCGGCGGAGCAUGUGGCUUAAUUCGACGCAACGCGAAGAACCUUACCAAGGCUUGACAUACACCGGAAACGUCUGGAGACAGGCGCCCCCUUGUGGUCGGUGUACAGGUGGUGCAUAGCUGUCGUCAGCUCGUGUCGUGAGAUGUUGGGUUAAGUCCCGCAACGAGCGCAACCCUUGUCCCGUGUUGCCAGCAGGCCCUUGUGGUGCUGGGGACUCACGGGAGACCGCCGGGGUCAACUCGGAGGAAGGUGGGGACGACGUCAAGUCAUCAUGCCCCUUAUGUCUUGGGCUGCACACGUGCUACAAUGGCCGGUACAAUGAGCUGCGAUACCGCGAGGUGGAGCGAAUCUCAAAAAGCCGGUCUCAGUUCGGAUUGGGGU